This 77-nucleotide small nucleolar RNA is filed under the name Solanum lycopersicum (tomato). RNAcentral describes it as "Small nucleolar RNA R21". It matches the Rfam family "Small nucleolar RNA R21". From Rfam's summary of the family: snoR21 is a member of the C/D class of snoRNA which contain the C (UGAUGA) and D (CUGA) box motifs. Most of the members of the box C/D family function in directing site-specific 2'-O-methylation of substrate RNAs. The record is from Rfam by way of RNAcentral. Lineage: Eukaryota; Viridiplantae; Streptophyta; Magnoliopsida; Solanales; Solanaceae.
UAUCGCUAUGACGAUUAAAAAUAUAAAAAGUAGUGGACUGAAAAAUAUAUUGAUGAGUAAAUUAAUUCUGAGCGAUG